CUACUUCACGCACCAGUGGGGAAUAUUGGACAAUGGGGGAAACCCUGAUCCAGCACUGCCGCGUGUGUUCAGAAGGCCUGCGGGUUGUAAAGCACUUUCGGUUGGGAGGACUGCUUCUAGCACUAAUAUUGUUGGAAGUUGACGUUACCUUCAGAAGAAGCACCGGCUAACUCCGUGCCAGCAGCCGCGGUAAUACGGCGGGUGCAAGGUUAAUCGGAAUUACUGGGCGUACAGCGCGCGUAGGCGGCUAGAUCAGUCGGGUGUGAAAGCCCCGGGCUUACCCUGGGAACUGCAUCCGAUACUGGCUAUCUUGAGUACAGGAGAGGGGAGUGGAAUUCCACAUGUAGCGGUGAAAUGCGUAGAUAUGUGGAGGAACACCAAUGGCGAAGGCAGCUCUCUGGCCUGAUACUGACGCUGAGGUGCGAAAGCGUGGGGAGCAAACAGGAUUAGAUACCCUAGUAGUC
RNAcentral lists this ribosomal RNA (464 nucleotides) under uncultured bacterium. RNAcentral's name for it is "partial 16S ribosomal RNA". It matches the Rfam family "Bacterial small subunit ribosomal RNA", at positions 339 to 795 of the family's 1533-position model. The record is from RNAcentral.